RNAcentral lists this ribosomal RNA (482 nucleotides) under uncultured bacterium. RNAcentral's name for it is "SSU rRNA". It matches the Rfam family "Bacterial small subunit ribosomal RNA", at positions 26 to 518 of the family's 1533-position model. The record is from RNAcentral.
AGGAUAAACGCUGGCGGCGUGCCUAACACAUGCAAGUCGAACGCCCUUUUCCUUCGCAAGAGGGGGGAGGGAGUGGCGGACGGGUGAGUAACACGUGGGCAACCUGCCCCUAGCACUGGGAUAAGCCCGGGAAACCGGGUCUAAAUACCGGAUAUGACCUUCGAGGGCAUCCUUGAAGGUGUAAAGGAUUCUGGCUAGGGAUGGGCCCGCGGCCUAUCAGCUUGUUGGUGGGGUAAUGGCCUACCAAGGCGACGACGGGUAGCCGGCCUGAGAGGGCGACCGGCCACACUGGGACUGAGACACGGCCCAGACUCCUACGGGAGGCAGCAGUGGGGAAUCUUGCACAAUGGGCGAAAGCCUGAUGCAGCGACGCCGCGUGAGGGAUGACUGCCUUCGGGUUGUAAACCUCUUUCAGCAGGGACGAAGCGAAAGUGACGGUACCUGCAGAAGAAGACACCGGCCAACUACGCGCCAGCAGCCGC